CGGGGCUGUAGGAGGGAAGGAGAUGACGUCAAGUCAUCAUGGCCCUUACGGCCUGGGCUACACACGUGCUACAAUGGCGGGUACAGAGGGCUGCAAGCUCGCGAUAGUGAGCUAAUCUCGCAAAGCGCGUCGUAGUCCGGAUCGCAGUCUGCGAACUCGACUCCGUGAAGUCGGAAUCGCUAGUAAUCGCGAAUCAGAAUGUUGCGGUGAAUACGUUCCCGGGCCUUGUACACACCGCCCGUCACACCAUGGGAGUGGGUUGCACCAGAAGUAGAUAGUUUAACCUUCGGGAG
Molecule: ribosomal RNA, 293 nt
Filed under: Aeromonas hydrophila
Lineage: Bacteria; Pseudomonadati; Pseudomonadota; Gammaproteobacteria; Aeromonadales; Aeromonadaceae
Description: partial 16S ribosomal RNA
Rfam family: Bacterial small subunit ribosomal RNA
Source: RNAcentral